CCUACGGGAGGCUGCAGUGAGGAAUAUUGGUCAAUGGGCGGGAGCCUGAACCAGCCAAGCCGCGUGAGGGAAGAAGGUCCAGCGUAUCGUAAACCUCUUUUGUCAGGGAACAAAGGCGGGGACUAGUGCCUGGUUGAGGGUACUUGAUGAAUAAGCAUCGGCUAACUCCGUGCCAGCAGCCGCGGUAAUACGGAGGAUGCGAGCGUUAUCCGGAUUUAUUGGGUUUAAAGGGUGCGCAGGGGGCUUGUUAAGUCAGCGGUAAAAGCCUGGGGCUCAACCUCGAGGAGCCAUUGAAACUGGCAGGCUGGAGUUGAGGUGAAGUACGCGGAAGUCGCGGUGUAGCGGUGAAAUGCUUAGAUAUCGCGCAGAACCCCGAUUGCGAAGGCAGCGUACCAGCUCCACACUGACGUUGAGGCUCGAAAGCGUGGGUAUCGAACAGGAUUAGAUACCCCUGUAGUC
Molecule: ribosomal RNA, 459 nt
Filed under: uncultured bacterium
Lineage: Bacteria
Description: partial 16S ribosomal RNA
Rfam family: Bacterial small subunit ribosomal RNA
Source: RNAcentral